Molecule: ribosomal RNA, 496 nt
Filed under: uncultured bacterium
Lineage: Bacteria
Description: partial 16S ribosomal RNA
Rfam family: Bacterial small subunit ribosomal RNA
Source: RNAcentral
GAUGAACGCUGGCGGCGUGCCUAAUACAUGCAAGUCGAGCGAACAGAUGAGGAGCUUGCUCCUCUGACGUUAGCGGCGGACGGGUGAGUAACACGUGGAUAACCUACCUAUAAGACUGGGAUAACUUCGGGAAACCGGAGCUAAUACCGGAUAAUAUAUUGAACCGCAUGGUUCAAUAGUGAAAGACGGUUUUGCUGUCACUUAUAGAUGGAUCCGCGCCGCAUUAGCUAGUUGGUAAGGUAACGGCUUACCAAGGCGACGAUGCGUAGCCGACCUGAGAGGGUGAUCGGCCACACUGGAACUGAGACACGGUCCAGACUCCUACGGGAGGCAGCAGUAGGGAAUCUUCCGCAAUGGGCGAAAGCCUGACGGAGCAACGCCGCGUGAGUGAUGAAGGUCUUCGGAUCGUAAAACUCUGUUAUUAGGGAAGAACAAAUGUGUAAGUAACUAUGCACGUCUUGACGGUACCGAAUCAGAAAGCCACGGCUAACUACGU